Molecule: long non-coding RNA, 4403 nt
Organism: Lepisosteus oculatus (spotted gar)
Lineage: Eukaryota; Metazoa; Chordata; Actinopteri; Semionotiformes; Lepisosteidae
Source: Ensembl
AUAUAUUGUUAUUGCAUAGAAUAUAUUGUUAUAAUAUAUUGCAUAUAUUGGAGGUGUGUAAUUAUUGGUGCAUUAUCAAAAUGUAAAAUUGUGGGCGGAGUCAUGUAAUAAUUGUUACAAAUGGUGGUGGGGGUGUACAAGAAAUGGAUAAAAAGUUAGUAAAUGACUCUGCUGAGUACUCAAUUUAAGUAAAUUAAAUGAUCAUAACCCCCAACUUGUAAAUUAUUUUGCCAAACAUAUAUCUGAGCUGUUAGCAUAGUAGGAGACACAUGAGUUCUUUUUUCUCUAGCACAGACAUAAGCUUUACCAAAAAUGAGGCAAGAAGAUUUAUUAUAGGUUUUUUUGGUCAUUUCAGGUUUCGCCAGCACUACAAGAAGUUCAUUGACUGUGACCCUUGCUGGAUUUCUGCUGCACAUGAUGCUUUCACGCCUCUGAACUCACCGGGCUCUUGGCUACUACCGUUUUUAUUUGACAUACUGUACACUUGCAGAAGAAACAAUCACGAUUUCAACGGUUUCUUAAAACCUUUUUAACAGUCAAUUGAUGCGGCUCCUAGGAAUGUGCAUGGGUGUCACUCAGAUGGGCCUUUUAAAUCGGAGCAAAUUUUAAGGCCUGAAAUGAGAGAACUGUAAUUUCAAGAAGGCAGUUCGUAUUAAAGAUCCCAUGCAGAUAGAUGCCCACGAGGACAGAGGUCGUCUUUUAAACAAGAGGUGAAACAAAUGUCAAGGGGCAAAUUGUAAACCUAGCAAGAGAUGCCUGAAGUGAAGCAGUGAAGUAGCUUCAAAUACACAAUAGAGGAAGCUCCACCCUUGGAUUUUUAUGUUUUAAUUUAACAUUAAAUUAUUCAAUUCUAUGUCUCUGGGUGCAGAAUGCCAGGGAUACUGUAAGCCUCAUUUCUACCUGUGAGCCUUUUUUUAAAGUCUUUCUUUGGAACCACAACUGCCAAAAUCACAGGAAGAGGACUCCUCAUUCCCUCAAGGGAGAGGCCCAGCUGGGCCUGUGGACUCAAGGGGCUUCCGCCUCCUUUCCGCUCUGGAGGAGAGGGACUCAUUUCGACCAGGCAUCCCGAACCUGAGGUGUGUUCGGAUGCAUCUGGGUUAAUGAAUUUAAUGAAUAAGCAAUCACUGGGCCAAUAUCAUUUCAGUCCUCCACAGAGCUGUGCCCACAGGCUGCCAGUGGGCCAUGGGUCUGCAGUUUGGGUGGGGACUUCCUCGACAGGGAGUCUGGGAUACUACUGUAAACAACCCGGAAAAGGCGGAUGAGGUGACUGAACUGGAGGGGGUGUUUUAACUUGGACACCAAACCAUGGUUGCUGGCUUGUUGUUACGAGAGGAGAGAAGAAAACAGAGAGGCUUGUAAGUGUGGUUCAAAAUAUGUGAAGCAAUCAUUGCUGUCUGAACCAACAUGGAUUUGUGCAACAAGGCAGGGGGACAGAAAGGGACAAGACAUUGUGCUGAGAUGGUUUGGGAAGCAUCAAGAGGAGCCAGAUAAAUGAUUCGUAAAAGAUGUGGCAUUUCUGUUCCCACAGCAACUACCCUAAAGUAUUGAUUUACACUACCUGUCAGUAGAAGCUAUAAUUUAAUUAAACACACAUUGUGAAAACCGCUGUGUUCAGAUUACCUAUUUUACGGGAGUGGUCUAUACAGUACAAUAGUUUGUACAGGUCUGAACAGAAAGGCUGAGACAUGAAGCCCUCUCCAACCACAGAGCUGGGAAAGCAUGGCCAGGCACACUGGCAGUCCUGGCAGUACGGUCCAACUCAACGGGCGGAGGUUUCCAACACUGUCCCACGUUCUUCUAGCUCUGAGCAGCGGCACCUCUCUGCUUGAGAGACACAACCCGCACUAAAAGUCUGCUGACCGGUAGUGCAGUGCUGAGUGCAAGUGAGUCCCAAGUGCCAUGGUGACAGGAAGGACCUGACCAUGACACAGAACACGAUAAGGACACCACGGCCGACAUUCCUCCCCCAGGGGGCGCCCCACUACUCCUGUCAUUAGUUCCGGGAUUGUUGCCGUGUUCCCCAGGUGUGGCCUGUUGUCUACCGCUAUUUAAAGCCUAGAUCCUCCAGUCCUCGGGGCUCCACAUUAGGGUACGGGGCCCGCCUAGCACCAGGAUACCCUACGUCCGUCUCCUGAGGGCAUAGGCCUCAUCCCUGACACCUCCCGGGGUCUGGAGGACCUCGCCCCGUUAUCCCAGAAUCUCCAUGUCGGUUGUCUGUUCGUGUUUUCCCCAGUCCCAGGGAUUUUAACCCUAGUCACGUCUCGGGAUGGAUCUCUUGUUAACAGACUCUUGGACUGGGCCCUGACCUGCCUUUGGACCUGCUCUGAUUUGGAUGCCAUCCUCUGUCUCCCCGGACUGUCACUAUUCUUUUGUGCACCAUUAAACUCCUUUGUGUUUUCCCAUACCACACCUCCUGUUUCCUCCAGUGCUACUACAAAACAGUUGUCCGUAACAAUAACCAGUGUCACAGGCAGCGCUUUUGCAUGUCAGCUGAUUUCUUUUUUUUUUUUUUAAUAAAGGUGCGUGCCGGCCGUACCAAAUUAAAAUCCCCCCAGAAUGCCCCUCAGUGGGGCAGAGCUGCUGCGAUGCUGCAGCCUCCGUUUCCGGAUGGAGAGCCGGUUCGUGUGAGGAAGAAAUGGCACUUCCUCUUAAUUUAUAGCUUUCACUGCAUGGGCGGGUUUCAGUUCACUGCUGUUUAAAUGCACCGCGCCACAGGUACGGCGGAAAGACGUUCACAUUUCCUCUCCACGUGCCUGUUGGUGGCCUCACUAUUCUCAGGUCUACAGUGUUUUUUACGUAUCUCAGUAUAGCUCUCGACAAACUCUAAAUUUCCAAUAGAAUCACAGACAUGCCAUGUAGCCACUACCAGGGUUGAGGAUUUGGGUGUUGUCUCUCUUAUGGAGGUUUAUCUUCAUGAAUUUAGGUGGCGUUUCUAGUUUAUAACCUUCAGCUGUUAACAGUUCAAAAGAAAAAUGGAGGACUGAGUCACACACUUCCACACCAGUAUGAGUACUGCCAUUUGUGUGCCAUGAUUUCACCUUGCUUUGUUGAUGAUUUACUCUGUUACUCUUACUCCUUUGAAGACUCUCUUCUCUUUCUGUGACUGUUUUCAGUAGUGUGGAAAAAUUUACUCCAGUGUACAAACUUAUUUGUAAGCUCUGUAACAGCCCUAUCUGUGUUACAGAUAGUAACAUUCUCUGUGUGUUUCACAGAUUGCGUGGAAGGACCUGAGUCUUUCUAGUUUAAGCCCAUUAGGAGAGUUAUUAAGGCACAAGAACAGCUCUUUGACUGUCUCAUGUUUUCUUGUGUGCUGUACGAAUAUGUAUGGUGGAAUAACUGUUUGGGAGGGUGAUAACCACUUGUUUCCUGUUGUUCAUGAGCUCUGUAAACGCUGUGUCUGAAACCACAGAUCUUCAAAUUUUGUAUAUUUUUUUUAUGCGGCCAAUGCAAUGCUGAUAAUGUCCAGUAUGGUGUUGUGAAUCAGAUAUGAAGGGCUCUAUUGGUCAGUGAGACGUGUGUCUGUUCUUGUCUUAGGACAUGCAUUAAGAUCACCCGUGGCAUACAGAGGAAGAAAAACGUGGUUUUCAGUUUUUAAAUAUUUGAGUUAAAGCUGUAUACUUCUAUUUCAGCACACUGCAAAAAUUGGGUUGUAGUCGUAUGCUAUAAAAAAAACUGGAUACUCCGAACGGUUCCUUCUAUAGUGGUAUUUGUUUGCUCAAAGUGAAACUGUUCAUCCCUAGGGGGAAAUAUCUGAGUGCCCAAAGGUUAGAUGAGACCAGCAGCAAGGUUACAUCACUACACAUUACAUUUAUUUACAGUAAACAGUUCUGAGAAGCAAACAGUUCUGAGAAGAGCUGCCAGACAUAUUCCUGGGUUAAGGGAAUGUCCUACACUGACAGGCUGAAGGACCUGAUCCUUUUUAACCUUGAACCAAUCUUGAACCAAAACGACUAUUAAGUUCUAGACCCAGAGUUUCCAGCCUUCCCUAAUCAAUUCUAUACGAGAGUAAUUUUACUGUGAUCAGAUGAGCAGAUUUAUUAAAUUAAUUUAACAUUCUGAAGCCUUCAAAGACCAGAGCUGUCCGUUUAAAACAAGUUUCUUAACUGAACAACACUUACAGGUCUAACUGGGCAAAUGGGUAACUUGUAAAAGUGGGGCUCUCCAGCACCCAGGGUGGAGACCCCUGUUCUAGACGUGAAAAAAGCGCCAAAAACUUACACCAUUGAAUCGUUGUGUCAAUUCAUGACCGAAUGAAUUUGGUCAUGGUCAAUAAAGUCAUCCCAAUAGAAACACACAGAGAUCAUUGUCCCACAGAGCAGCCUGAAUUAUCACUGAGGUACAGUAUAUCAUUAGUAUCCUCAUGGUAGCUUGGGAGAGCUCAGCGGGGUGUUAAAACCAAAAGA